RNAcentral lists this non-coding RNA (27 nucleotides) under Rattus norvegicus (Norway rat). The record is from RNAcentral. Lineage: Eukaryota; Metazoa; Chordata; Mammalia; Rodentia; Muridae.
UACUGAGUGCUUAUAAUGUGCCAGGUA